AGUGCUGCUGAUCUCCGCCCCAGAGGCGCAGGACGGUGGGGGGGCCUCCGUGGAGCCGAGCCCCGAGAACCAGGCUUUCACCCGUGGAACAUUCCUGGGUGAGGGGCAGCCUGAAGAAAAUGCCCUUGGUGAGGAGGCAUAUAACAACGGCAAUGAAAUCAUCAACCCAACGGAUGACCUUUUGCCACAUGGCGCUGUUGAGGCCCAACCUGCACCGGGCCAUUCUGUGAAGGUAGUUCUGGCUGAACCCCCUCAGGCGGAAGGCGAGGAACCAGGCGAGGCCAAUGAGCUGGUGGAAGAAGCAGCUGCAAACAAAGAGACAGGAGAGCAGGGCCUGGAGCCAUGGAAGAUUGGGGCUAUUUCUGCUGCAGCCUUCCUAGUUUUGGAGACCAUUAUCAUCGUUGUCUAUGUCCUCAAAUGUCGUGACAAAAACAGCACCGCGGGCAUUCAGCGUGCUUGCGAGGAAGGUUGUGUGGAACCGGAGGACGCUACGGGAGGGGACUGCAGUGACGACACGCUUCCUGCAAG
RNA transcript from Pungitius pungitius (ninespine stickleback), 528 nucleotides. RefSeq lists it as uncharacterized. Lineage: Eukaryota; Metazoa; Chordata; Actinopteri; Perciformes; Gasterosteidae. The record is from RefSeq and is a predicted model, not a curated record. The transcript is spliced from 3 exons.